AUAUAUAUAACUUUAAUUUAGAAAAUUUUGAAACUAUAUAUAAAGUAUUAAUUUUAUUAACUAUGUUUACAACAAAUUUAUAUUAAUAACUUAAAAUUUAUAAUUAUACAGCUAAAUAAUUAUUAUACUUUUGUUGUAUUUUUAAUUAAUUAUAUUAUAAUCCAUAUUAUUUAUAUUUUUUAUCAUUCAAAUAUUUGUUCCACAGCGCAUAUCACUUUCUUAUCAUUCAAACUUUAAUAACAACGUGUUUAUCCUAUAAAACCGCACUUGAAUAUACUGUACCAUAACAUCGCCUGAUCCGUUUUUACCAUUCGAAAACUGAGUUUUUUGUUUUCCACAAAAAUUAAUAAAACAACAGUAAGUGCGGUUCAAAAUUAUGCAAAACUUUUAGACUAUUGAUUGAAUCAAAAAGCCUUUUACCAGAUUUAUGUUACAUCGAUGGAACAUCUGCUCUUCCACUGUAGCUACGCGAAAGAGGUGUGGGCUCGAGGUCCUUGGACCUCCGAGUUUAUUGCAACCCAAGACUCCACCCUUGCAAGUACCCUUCAAGCCUCCUAUCUCUGGAAAGCUCUGCCCCCCAUGGUAUCUUGGGCAAAUGUCUUUCCCUCGAUUUGCUGGUAUCUUUGGAUCUCGCGUAACAAAUAUAUUUUUGAAUCAAGAACGAUCCCACCCCAGGAACUGCUUUCACAAGCCAUCAGUGCAAUGAAGGAGUGGGAAUCAGCUCAACCUUUUCGCCCUCCUGUCGCCCACAGUCUGACCUCGUUGAAUCGGAUCGUGCCUAAUUCACCAGAAACCGUUUUCUGUAAUUCUGAUGCGGCUUGGAAAUCGGAAGCCAGAUCGGCUGGGUAGGCCUGGAUUUUCAGCGAUCAAGCAAACACAGAGCUCGCUCGUGCCUCCGCUGCCCAAGAUCAUGUCUCUUCUCCGUGCAUGGCUGAAGCGCUUGCGAUUCGUGAAGCCCUACUUCACGCGGCAUCCCUUAGCUUCUCUCACAUCUGUCUGCGCACAGAUUUACAAGUGCUUGCUCGAGCAAUCAACAGGAGAUCAUCGACGAUGGAACUCUUCGGAAUUCUUUCUGACAUCGACUCCCUUAUCUUCUCUUCAUCUUCCCCCUUUGUUUCCUGCGUUGUUAUUUUCACUAGGGAUCGUUAUCCGCGCCAAGACGCGGAAUUUUUGCAUUUUAAUCUAUUUUUGUCUCUUGCUUACUAAUCUAGCAUUCAGUUUUUCAAUGUAUUUUAUCUUCACCAUCUCCUCUUGUCUUAUUUACAUUUGUUUUCACGUUCUGUCGUUUGAUUUGUCUUAGUUUUGGCUUGUGUAAUAACUUAACCCUGCUCAUUCUUCUUUCAUUCUUUAUUGAUUGAUAUUUUUAUCUCGCUUA
Molecule: long non-coding RNA, 1375 nt
Organism: Brassica napus (rape)
Lineage: Eukaryota; Viridiplantae; Streptophyta; Magnoliopsida; Brassicales; Brassicaceae
Exons: 2
Source: RefSeq, a predicted model, not a curated record